Molecule: ribosomal RNA, 494 nt
Filed under: uncultured bacterium
Lineage: Bacteria
Description: partial 16S ribosomal RNA
Rfam family: Bacterial small subunit ribosomal RNA
Source: RNAcentral
GACGAACGCUGGCGGCGUGCUUAACACAUGCAAGUCGAACGGUGAAGCGCCUUCCUUUUUGGUGGGUGUGGAUGAGUGGCGAACGGGUGAGUAACACGUGAGUAACCUGCCCCCUUCUUCUGGAUAACCGCAUGAAAGUGUGGCUAAUACGGGAUAUUCUGGGUCUGUCGCAUGAUGGGUCUGGGAAAGAUAUUGUUUCGGUGGGGGAUGGGCUCGCGGCCUAUCAGCUUGUUGGUGGGGUGAUGGCCUACCAAGGCGGUGACGGGUAGCCGGCCUGAGAGGGUGGACGGUCACACUGGGACUGAGACACGGCCCAGACUCCUACGGGAGGCAGCAGUGGGGAAUAUUACACAAUGGGCGCAAGCCUGAUGCAGCGACGCCGCGGGAGGGAUGGAGGCCUUCGGGUUGUGAACCUCUUUCGCCAGUGAAGCAGGCCUGCCUCGUUUGUGGGUGGGUUGACGGUAGCUGGAUAAGAAGCGCCGGCUAACUACGUG